UUGUCUAAGAAGAAUAAAAAUAAGAAGAAGCAGGCAAGCGAGAAACCGAAAGGAUCAUUUCCACGACUGGUCAUCUAAAUGGCAAAUGUCCGAUGAAGAAAAUGACAAGUCGUGUCGCGUGAUCAACAAAAUGUAAGGAAAUUCAGGGUGGGUUUGUGUGGCCAAUACAAGGCAAAACAAGGCAAGGCAAGACAAGGCAAGGCAAGGCAAGGCAAGGCAAGGAAAAAAGAGUUGUCCCCCGUCAUUGUACACUUUUUCUUUCUCGAGAAUGAGAGAAAAAGUAAAGAAACCCGAAAGAGAAAUAUAAAAGGCUGGAUGUAAAGAAGACUGCUGAGGAGGCUUCACUCAACGAGAAAUAUUACACAAUCUGUGUGCUGUGUGCGCAGCUCGCCGCCUCAACCUUUCUCCCUCACCUCUCCGGAACUCAACGAGAAGGUAGGAGUUGAACAGGCAACCAACCAACCAACCAACCAACCAACCAACCAACCAAGCUAGCUAGCUAGCAAGCAAGCAAGCAAACAAGCAAGCAAGCUGGCUGGCAAGCUGGCUGGCAGCACACUGGCAGCAAGCGAGCAGGUAUAACACCACGUCUUUCAACACGACACGACAAUUAUGAAAUUCGUGAGUCCCUAAAUGGAGACACGUCUGAAAGCCGUUUUGCACGUUAUGUUGUUGUCCCUCUUACAAUACUUUAGAGACACAACCAUUGUUGUAUCUUCUUCUUCUUCUACUUUAUUGUUUUCUUUCUUUAUUUCUUUUCUUAACGUUAGAUAGAAUUCGGAUCAAUAAAUACUCAAACAAGACAGAGAGAGAAAGAGAGAUAUCCUAAUAGAAUAUCGAGGAAUGUAGCCACGUGGCAAACAGAUGAAACACUAGUUCCUAUUUUUCCUAUUAUGAUUCUUUAGAAAAGAUUUACUUUUGGAAAGCGUUACGACGAAACAUUCUUUUAUUUUUCUAUCACACAAAUCCGAUGAAAAUAAAAUAUUUUAGGAUCCUUUAUUCUAUUUUUCUUUUCUUUUUUUUUUAAAAAAGGUACCUGAACAUUAAGACGAACGAAUACGUUUGUUAUUCCAAAAUGAUCGAGAAAACAGAUACGGUUGUUGAUUUUGUGAAUAAUAUUAUAAGUUUAAGGGGGAUCAUUCCUUCCUUCCUCCCCUUGAAGAAAUUUUACAGGCGUGUGGUGCGUUUGUUUCUCCUCCAAUAGAAAGUGAGAUAGAACAAAAGGUAACGAACAGAAAGACUUUUGCCCCGUGGGCAUAAACCUGGAACGAAAUGUCUUUACCUCGAAUUUCCAGACGUGACACUUGCGCAAGUAUCUCUUUCUUGGGCUUGGACUGUUAUACGUAGAACACAGUUCAUGUAUUUAACUCCUGUCUGACUAACGAACGCGUUACUACUUAAAUCAAGUAGUUCAACUUACGAGAUUAACUUUGUUAACAUGAAACAGAUUAAUUCAAGAUUAUUCUUCAUCGAAUACUAAAAAGGAAACUAAACGAAAACGAAAACGAAAAUGAAUAUUUUUAACGAAAAUUACAAAAAUUAUAAGCUCGAAGUUUAAUCAGUAAUUGAGAUAUAUUAGAAAAUUAUGAAUUAUAAAGAACAAAAUAGUAUUAUCGGUGGUGAUUUCAGUUUUUUAAUAAUUGAAAAAUAUAAGGAAAUAUUAAUAAACCUUUUUACCAAUCUAGAGAGAACUAUGAGACAAUGAGAAUAUUUUCUUUUUUGUAUCCAAAUCGAAACCUUAAACUACUAUAAAUAAUUAUUCUAGUUUUUUUUUUUUCAAAUUAUUCACCGACGUAACAUCAUUUGAUUUACAUAUUUAAAUAAUUCCUAACGGUAUUAUCGUUUUAAUUUAUACCCAUUAUUCUAACAGUCUGGCUGUUGGUUGACAGUAGUCAAACUGGAGCCGAUAAAAAUUUA
RNAcentral lists this long non-coding RNA (1917 nucleotides) under Polistes canadensis. Its description in RNAcentral is "uncharacterized LOC106790594". The record is from RNAcentral. Lineage: Eukaryota; Metazoa; Arthropoda; Insecta; Hymenoptera; Vespidae.